AGAAUCAACGCUGGCGGCGUGCCUAACACAUGCAAGUCGAACGAGAAAGUGGAGCAAUCCAUGAGUAAAGUGGCGACCGGGUGAGUAACACGUGACUACCUACCCUUGAGUGGGGGAUAACCUCGGGAAACCGAGGCUAAUACCGCAUAAUAUCGAAAGAUCAAAGGAGGUAAUCCGCUUUUGGAGGGGGUAGCGGCUGAUUAGCUAGUUGGUAGGGUAAUGGCCUACCAAGGCGAAGAUCGGUA
This 245-nucleotide ribosomal RNA is filed under the name uncultured bacterium. Its description in RNAcentral is "partial small subunit ribosomal RNA". It matches the Rfam family "Bacterial small subunit ribosomal RNA", at positions 26 to 285 of the family's 1533-position model. The record is from RNAcentral.